ACCCGCACAAGCGGUGAUGAUGUGGUUUAAUUCGAUGCAACGCGAAAAACCUUACCCACCUUUGACAUGUACGGAAUCCUUUAGAGAUAGAGGAGUGCUCGAAAGAGAACCGUAACACAGGUGCUGCAUGGCUGUCGUCAGCUCGUGUCGUGAGAUGUUGGGUUAAGUCCCGCAACGAGCGCAACCCUUGUCAUUAGUUGCUACAUUCAGUUGGGCACUCUAAUGAGACUGCCGGUGACAAACCGGAGGAAGGUGGGGAUGACGUCAAGUCCUCAUGGCCCUUAUAGGUGGGGCUACACACGUCAUACAAUGGAUGGUACAAAGGGUCGCCAACCCGCGAGGGGGAGCCAAUCCCAUAAAACCGAUCGUAGUCCGGAUCGCAGUCUGCAACUCGACUGCGUGAAGUCGGAAUCGCUAGUAAUCGUGAAUCAGAAUGUCACGGUGAAUACGUUCCCGGGCCUU
Molecule: ribosomal RNA, 462 nt
Filed under: uncultured Acidovorax sp.
Lineage: Bacteria; Pseudomonadati; Pseudomonadota; Betaproteobacteria; Burkholderiales; Comamonadaceae
Description: bacterial SSU rRNA
Rfam family: Bacterial small subunit ribosomal RNA
Source: RNAcentral